RNAcentral lists this long non-coding RNA (3967 nucleotides) under Malus domestica (apple). Its description in RNAcentral is "long non-coding RNA (MDOM_LNC004171)". Lineage: Eukaryota; Viridiplantae; Streptophyta; Magnoliopsida; Rosales; Rosaceae. The record is from RNAcentral.
GAGAGUAUAAUUUAUAUUUUAUUAUUUUUAAUCCCAUAAAUUAUGUGACACACCCCGUCCCGAAGGAGGGCAUGCUGGCCGUCACGUGAGAGUGACGUAACCAUUUGCACAGUACGGAAGCUUUAAUUAUACAAUUUAUAAGUUGAUACACCCGAAGGUGAGUCCUAAUUUUGUCCAAUCUGUCAGAACACCGUCGAAUUCCUCGUAGUCACCACACCUUUGUGAUUCCUGAACCUGGAGGGGCGCAAAACCAAAAUUGAGUGGGUCAGUAAAACAAUUCUUUUCCAAAUCCAAACAUUUCUCAAAACGUUGUAACCCCUCUCCGUAAAACCUGUAUACUUUCCCAGAAAUGUAAAAUAUAAAUAUACAUAUAUAUUCUCAAAACUUCAUUUUUACUAUCUCAACAUUAUCUCUUUAUCAAUCAUGCCAUGCCAUGUCUAAUUCAACAGUUAAGUAUGGAUGCAUCAACAAUAAUCAUAUCAGGUGCAAGAAAGUAAUCAACCGUAGGCCCUCUAAUAGCCCUGUACGGUUGAACCUAGAGCUCAAAAUCUCAUCUAACCGGAGUCACCAACUGUGACCUGUUCGGCCAUGCCGGAGUCACCUAGUAUGACCUGUACGGCACUACACUGCACAUAAGUCGGAAUUACCUAAUAUAAUCUGUACGACUUAAUGGUAGAAUAAUAUGCUCUAGUGCUUCUCUCAUCAAUCAUCUGUGCACAUAAUCUAAGGUCACCUACCAGUCGGAACCCCUCUAAUGGUCUGUACGACUGGCAUGUCGGAACCACCCCCUGUGGUCUGUACGACUAGCAUCUACUUGGAUCCAAGGUGAGCAUGCGAUGCGGUGAAUAAUAAUAAGCACUAAUACCAAGGUGCAGGUUAUGAGCUCAAUAUAUCUCAACAUCAUCAUAACAAUAAUAAAUACUCACCUGAUACUCACCUGUGCGUCCACCGCACCAAUUCAUACAAAUGCAUCAUAUAUCAAUUCAUACUUUUAUAUACUUAUAUACAUGGCAUCUCAAAUCAUAUCUUUCAUAUAAAUCUACUCAUGGCAUUUGAAAACAUACUUUUAUACUUUGCAUUUAAAGCAUACUUUCGUAACAUUUUCAAUUUCUGGGAAACGUCAAUUAUAUAUGUAUACGGAAAACAAAACUGCCCACUCACCUGGAGUUCGUCCAACAACUCCUUAGCACCACACAUCAAGGCGUCAUGACGAUCGCCGCCUAGAACAGUAAUCAAAUCCAACCUCAGAAUUCAUAUCGAUAGAAUAUAUAACUUAUAUAAAAUACGUCACUAUGUAGAUCGAUCCGGAAGAUCUGCCACUCAGAUUUUAAAUCCAUAACUUCCAGAGGUCCACAAUAUAUCUCUAGGACAACAUCCUAAAAUUUCAUUACCAUCCAACGGUCGGAUCUCCGUCAAUUUCCAAAACUAAGUGAUGGUUAACAUUUUAUAUUAUGGACUUACAACUCCAAUUCCGGAAGAUCCGUAAAUCGGAUUCCCAAUCCGUAAGUUCCAAUAAUCCUCAAAUAUUACGUAUUACUACGUAUCAAAAUUUAGUGACGAUCUAACGGUCGGAUCGUCAAUUCACAUUUUCACCUAAAUGUGAAAACUAUAAAACGUUAUUCGAACACCUAACCAACAAUCUUUAAUAACUUUCUCAUACGGUACUCAAUUUGGGUAUAUGAAUAUACCACGGUGAUCUACUCGACGUCACGGACGUCGACAUAUUUUUAAAAUAAUUUGUUACUGUAGAACGCGCCCCCACGCGCCAAGGAAGGCACGGACCUACGCGCCCCCACGCGCACCUUCUUCUUCCUUGGGUCGCCGGACUGGUUUUUCCGGCGGCCGUCUUUCAAAUUGCCAUAACUUUGUCAUUUCUCAACGAAAUCAAGUGAUUCAAAAACGAAAGUUGUAGCCCUUGAAGAUACAAAGAGAAUGGUACCUUGCACAAUACCUAGUUCGCCGUGGUUUGGCCGGAAACUGCCUCGAAAGCCUCGGAGGUCGCCGGAAACUGGGUAUUUUUCAAAUGAGUAUAACUUCUUCAAUACUCAACGAAAUUGAGUGAAACAAAAAGGAAAGUUGUAUUAAUUGACGAGACGAAGAUAUUGAUACCUACCUCGACUCCUAAAUCGCCGGGGAUUCUCCGGAAAACGCCUCGAAAGCUCCGGCCAAACUUUGAACUUGUCGAUCUCCGUGUUCUUACGUCCAAAAACUUCCAACGAAGCACUCCGAGCUUCCUUGGGACAUCCUAAAGCUCACUGUGAUCUUGUUUUAAGCUAAAACACCACCAUUUAAGAGUUUAUGAACAGUGCCAUUUCACGGGUACCUUGAAAACUAGGGUUUUCCGAAGUAGAACUUACCUGAAAUUGAUGUCUACGUGAUCGUGGAAGUUCCAGGAGUCCAAAUGUGGUCUUAUCUUGGGACGUUUGUUUAUGUUUUAGGUGGUUUUGGGUGAGGUUGAGCGUCGGAGAGGAAGAGAGAGAGAACUGAGAGUGAGAGAGAGUCGUGAGGGAAGAGAGAUAGAGAGAGAGUGUGGGUUACGGGUUUUAGGGAAAUAAUUGGGGAAUAUGGGAUCCACGUGGUCUUUUUAAAUCUAUAAUACAACCUUUUAACAUACAAACUUAAACCUAAGUCCAAAUUUAAGUUUGUAACCCUAUAUAAUAUCCCAGUUAACAAUAGUAUAGGGAAAUUAUGUAAAAACCAAUGCCAAAGUGACGCACCUUAAUCCCGUUUAAGGGCAAUUUCGUCUUUUCACAAUCCCGAGUAUUAUAAAUUGGGACGGGCUGUGACAUUAUGGGUUUUAUUUAAAAUCUCAUUAAUAUAAACAAUUACAAAUUUCAAUUUUUAUUUUUUAAUUAAAAAAAUAUAGUAACUUACAUUAUUACAUUAAUGUCAGGGACCUCAAUCAAAAACUAAAAACUAACAAGAUUUCAAUCAAAGAAUAUUGAUAGUUAGGGACCGCAUCCAAAGUGUCCCCUUUUUUUUUGUAUUUAAAAAAUAUAUAUAUGUACAAAAUUUAGGACCACUUCUAUAUUUUAUCAUAAUCAAACGAAAUAAGCGUAGCUAGUUAAUUGCUUCACUUGAUCGAUCCCUCCAUCCGAGGAAAACGUCUUUGAUCGAUAUAAAUUAGGGAACUUUAACGAAAAGCACCCGGUACUGUUCACAUUAACGAAAAAUCACAUUUUUACACUAAAAAGUCAAUCCUGGUACUAUUCACUUUACCCUUUAUUUUGUCCUUAUCAUUAAAACUCAAAGUUUUCAAACCCUUUUCAUUAGUUUUCCUUAUAAAUUAGUGCAUGCGUAUGAAACCCAAUUUGUCAGCUGCUUGGACACUUGGAAAGCGGUCCCUAAUCAACUCAAACUUUAGACUAAAACCCAGUUUGUUUUAAUUUUUUUAGAGUGAUGUUAUUCCCACCCAAUGUCCAUUUGCAAAAAGGCUGAUAAGGACAUUAAUUAUCUUGUAUUGCUUAAUUUAAAAAAGAAAAAGAAAAAGGUUGGGCGUGGGAGACGAUUUGUCUACCUUAAACCUUAACCCAUAUUUUCAUCUCCUUUCAUUUAGAGAAAGUAAAAAAAUACCAAUGAACUUAGAAGAUGACUUUUUCAUUGAACAGGUGGAAUAUGACUGUAGACAUCGAAAUUUCGGUAAAUAAAUGUUGACCGAUAAAUCAAAGUGUCAACGCUCAUGUAUUACAUAAAUUUUACACGUAGCAUGUGACUCAACAAAAAUUGAAAAUGAGUUGGAAAAGUCAUCAAAUAGGACACGUGUCAACACCUGGCAGAAACGACUUAUUUCAUCUGGGAUAUUAUAUUCAAAAUUAGGCAUUGGAAAAUUCUAUAAAUACAAGCCCAUUUCAUUCAUUUAGGAGGGGAAUUCAUAUUACACCUUGAAGCUCUGAAGCUCUGAAACUCCGAAGCUCUCAAGCAUCCAGGUUCCCGAAGAAUCAAGAAAGCCUUCUUCGUUUUUCGUUCA